CCUACGUGAGGCAGCAGUGGGGAAUAUUGCACAAUGGGGGAAACCCUGAUGCAGCGACGCCGCGUGAGUGAAGAAGUAAUUCGUUAUGUAAAGCUCUAUCAGCAGGGAAGAAAAUGACGGUACCUGAGUAAGAAGCCCCGGCUAACUACGUGCCAGCAGCCGCGGUAAUACGUAGGGGGCAAGCGUUCUCCGGAUUGACUGGGUGUAAAGGGAGCGUAGACGGCAGUGCAAGUCUGGAGUGAAAGGCGGGGGCUCAACCCCCGGACUGCUCUGGAAACUGUACGGCUGGAGUGCAGGAGAGGUAAGUGGAAUUCCUAGUGUAGCGGUGAAAUGCGUAGAUAUUAGGAGGAACACCAGUGGCGAAGGCGGCUUACUGGACUGUAACUGACGUUGAGGCUCGAAAGCGUGGGGAGCAAACAGGAUUAGAUACCCGAGUAGUC
This 440-nucleotide ribosomal RNA is filed under the name uncultured bacterium. RNAcentral's name for it is "partial 16S ribosomal RNA". It matches the Rfam family "Bacterial small subunit ribosomal RNA", at positions 338 to 795 of the family's 1533-position model. The record is from RNAcentral.